Molecule: unclassified non-coding RNA, 29 nt
Filed under: synthetic construct
Source: RNAcentral
GGGUUGACCGUUGAAUCUCACGGCAACCC